UAAAGAUUUUAAGGGCGUACGGUGGAUGCCUUGGCGAUAUCAGCCGAAGAAGGACGCGGUAAGCUGCGAUAAGCUACGGAGAGGUGCAAGCAACCUGUGACCCGUAGAUUUCCGAAUGGGGGAACCCGGCAGUGGUUAUGCACUGUCACCCAUACCUUUGAGUAUGAGGAGGGCACCCGGGGAACUGAAACAUCUAAUUACCCGGAGGAACAGUAAUCAAACGAGAUUUUCUUAGUAGCGGCGAGCGAACGGGAAAGAGGCCAAACCGGAGCGGGCAACCGCACCGGGGUUGAGGACAGUCAUCAAGUGUAAAUGAGGUAGAAGAAUCGAGCUGGAAAGCUCAGCCGCAGAAGGUGAAAGCCCUGUAAUCGAAACCUUGCAUACACGGGACUGUAUCCAGAGUACCACGAGACACGUGAAACCUUGUGGGAAGCAGGGGGGACCACCCUCCAAGCCAAAAUACUGAUAUCGACCGAUAGCGCAUAGUACCGUGAGGGAAAGGUGAAAAGAACCCCUGGCGGGGAGUGAAAGAGAACCUGAAACCGUAUGUCUACAAACAGUCGAAGUCUGUAUAUAUAUCAGGACGACGGCGUGCCUAUUGAAGAAUGAACCGACGAGUUACUGUUGCUAGCGAGGUUAAGUGGAAAACAUGGAGCCGCAGCGAAAGCGAGUCUGAACAGGGCGUUCAGUUAGUAAUAGUAGACCCGAAACCGUAGUGAUCUAUCCAUGGCCAGGUUGAAGCACAGGUAAAAUUGUGUGGAGGACCGAACUCGUGAGCGUUGAAAAGCUUUGGGAUGAGUUGUGGAUAGGGGUGAAAUGCCAAUCGAACACGGAGAUAGCUGGUUCUCCCCGAAAUAGCUUUAGGGCUAGCCUCGAGGUAGAGAGUAUAGGCGGUAGAGCACUGAUCGGGCUAGGGGCCAUACCGGUUACCGAACCUAGUCAAACUACGAAUGGCUAUACUUAUACUCGGGAGUCAGACAGUGAAUGAUAAGGUCCAUUGUCAAGAGGGAAACAGCCCAGAACACCGACUAAGGUCCCCAAUGUUACACUAAGUGGCGAAGGAUGUGGAAUUUCCAAAACAACCAGGAUGUUGGCUUAGAAGCAGCCACCAUUUAAAGAGUGCGUAAUAGCUCACUGGUCGAGAGACUCUGCGCCGAAAAUGUCCGGGGCUAAAGUGUAAAACCGAAGUCGUGUCAUAUGCAGCAAUGUAUAUGGGUAGGGGAGCGUUCUCAUCGGGCUGAAGCAGUACCGUAAGGAGUUGUGGACUGAUGAGAAGUGAGAAUGUCGGUAUGAGUAGCGAAAAGAAUGGUGAGAAUCCAUUCCACCGAAAGCCUAAGGGUUCCUGAGCAACGAUCGUCGUCUCAGGGUAAGUCGGGACCUAAGCCGAGGCGGAAAAGCGUAGGCGAUGGACAACAGGUUGAAAUUCCUGUACCGGUGUGAAUCGUUUGAUCGAUGGAGUGACACAGUAAGGUAGGUCAGCACGCGAUUGGAAGAGCGUGUUUAAGCAGGUAGGUUGAGCUAUAGGCAAAUCCGUAGCUCUAAAAGCUGAGAUGUGAUGACGAGUGACUAGCAAUAGUCGCGAAGUGAUUGAUCCUACACUGUCGAGAAAAGCUUCUAGGUAGAGACACAUCGCCCGUACCAAAACCGACACAGGUAGGCGGGGAGAGAAUCCUAAGGUGCGCGGGAAAACCCUCGUUAAGGAACUCGGCAAAAUGCAUCCGUAACUUCGGGAAAAGGAUGACCCAUGUAGUGUGAAAGCUUGUAACGGCUCUAGCAUGAAUGGGUGGCACAAGAGAGGCGCAAGCGACUGUUUACCACAAACACAGGUGCCUGCUAAAGCGAAAGCUGAUGUAUAGGUGCUGACACCUGCCCGGUGCUGGAAGGUUAAGAGGAGGGGUUAGACUUCGGUCGAAGCUCUGAAUUGAAGCCCCAGUAAACGGCGGCCGUAACUAUAACGGUCCUAAGGUAGCGAAAUUCCUUGUCGGGUAAGUUCCGACCCGCACGAAAGGCGUAACGAUUUGGGCACUGUCUCAACGAGGGACCCGGUGAAAUUGAAAUACCUGUGAAGAUGCAGGUUACCCGCGACUGGACAGAAAGACCCCAUGGAGCUUUACUGCAACCUAAGAUUGAACUUAGUUAAUGAAUGUACAGGAUAGGUGGGAGACGUAGAACCUAGGACGCCAGUUUUAGGGGAGUCGCUGUUGGGAUACCACCCUUUCAUUAAUUGAUUUCUAACGGGCCGAGUAACGACCGGCCGGACAGUCUUAGGCGGGCAGUUUGACUGGGGCGGUCGCCUCCAAAAGAGUAACGGAGGCGCCCAAAGGUUCCCUCAGAGCGGACGGAAAUCGCUCGAA
RNAcentral lists this ribosomal RNA (2354 nucleotides) under human metagenome. RNAcentral describes it as "bacterial LSU rRNA". It matches the Rfam family "Bacterial large subunit ribosomal RNA", at positions 1 to 2346 of the family's 2925-position model. The record is from RNAcentral.